GGUUCAAAAGUGAAAGACGGUCUUGCUGUCACUUAUAGAUGGAUCCGCGCUGCAUUAGCUAGUUGGUAAGGUAACGGCUUACCAAGGCAACGAUGCAUAGCCGACCUGAGAGGGUGAUCGGCCACACUGGAACUGAGACACGGUCCAGACUCCUACGGGAGGCAGCAGUAGGGAAUCUUCCGCAAUGGGCGAAAGCCUGACGGAGCAACGCCGCGUGAGUGAUGAAGGUCUUCGGAUCGUAAAACUCUGUUAUUAGGGAAGAACAUAUGUGUAAGUAACUGUGCACAUCUUGACGGUACCUAAUCAGAAAGCCACGGCUAACUACGUGCCAGCAGCCGCGGUAAUACGUAGGUGGCAAGCGUUAUCCGGAAUUAUUGGGCGUAAAGCGCGCGUAGGCGGUUUUUUAAGUCUGAUGUGAAAGCCCACGGCUCAACCGUGGAGGGUCAUUGGAAACUGGAAAACUUGAGU
This 468-nucleotide ribosomal RNA is filed under the name Staphylococcus aureus. Its description in RNAcentral is "bacterial SSU rRNA". It matches the Rfam family "Bacterial small subunit ribosomal RNA", at positions 191 to 647 of the family's 1533-position model. Lineage: Bacteria; Bacillati; Bacillota; Bacilli; Caryophanales; Staphylococcaceae. The record is from RNAcentral.